AGCGAACGCUGGCGGCAGGCCUAACACAUGCAAGUCGAACGAACUCUUCGGAGUUAGUGGCGGACGGGUGAGUAACACGUGGGAACGUGCCUUUUGGUUCGGAAUAACUCAGGGAAACUUGUGCUAAUACCGAAUGUGCCCUUCGGGGGAAAGAUUUAUCGCCAUUAGAGCGGCCCGCGUCUGAUUCGCUAGUUGGUGAGGUAACGGCUCACCAAGGCGACGAUCAGUAGCUGGUCUGAGAGGAUGACCAGCCACACUGGGACUGAGACACGGCCCAGACUCCUACGGGAGGCAGCAGUGGGGAAUCUUGCGCAAUGGGCGAAAGCCUGACGCAGCCAUGCCGCGUGAAUGAUGAAGGUCUUAGGAUUGUAAAAUUCUUUCACCGGGGACGAUAAUGACGGUACCCGGAGAAGAAGCCCCGGCUAACUUCGUG
RNAcentral lists this ribosomal RNA (433 nucleotides) under uncultured bacterium. Its description in RNAcentral is "partial 16S ribosomal RNA". It matches the Rfam family "Bacterial small subunit ribosomal RNA", at positions 29 to 507 of the family's 1533-position model. The record is from RNAcentral.